AGCAUCAGGUUUCUGGUGCACACGAGAAAAGCAUCAGGUUUCUGGUGCACACGAGAAAAGCAUCAGGUUCCUGGUGCCCACGAGAAAAGCAUCAGCUUUCUGGUGCACACGUAUCUGGUGCCCACGAGAAAAGCAUCAGGUUUCUGGUGCACACGAGAAAAGCAUCAGGUUUCUGGUGCACACGAGAAAAGCAUCAGGUUUCUGGUGCACAUGUAUCUGGUGCCCAUGAGAAAAGCAUCAGGUUUCUGGUGCACACGAGAAAAGCAUCAGGUUCCUGGUGCCCACGAGAAAAGCAUCAGCUUUCUGGUGCACACGUAUCUGGUGCCCACGAGAACAGCAUCAGGUUUCUGGUGCACACGAGAAAAGCAUCAGGUUUCUGGUGCACAUGUAUCUGGUGCCCACGAGAAAAGCAUCAGCUUUCUGGUGCACACGUAUCUGGUGCCCACGAGAAAAGCAUCAGGUUUCUGGUGCACACGAGAAAAGCAUCAGGUUCCUGGUGCCCACGAGAAAAGCAUCAGCUUUCUGGUGCACACGUAUCUGGUGCCCACGAGAAAAGCAUCAGGUUUCUGGUGCACAAGAGAAAAGCAUCAGGUUUCUGGUGCACAC
Molecule: long non-coding RNA, 606 nt
Organism: Alosa sapidissima (American shad)
Lineage: Eukaryota; Metazoa; Chordata; Actinopteri; Clupeiformes; Clupeidae
Exons: 5
Source: RefSeq, a predicted model, not a curated record